UUCAGUGGCAUUAAUUAUAUUCACAUUGUUGUGCAACCACCACCUCUAUUUCCAAAGCUUUUUCAUAACCCCAAAUGAACUCUAUAGCUUUUAAGCAUCUUGAAAGAGGUGACUCUGGGA
Cervus elaphus (red deer) is the source of this 120-nucleotide long non-coding RNA. RefSeq lists it as uncharacterized. The record is from RefSeq and is a predicted model, not a curated record. Lineage: Eukaryota; Metazoa; Chordata; Mammalia; Artiodactyla; Cervidae. The transcript is spliced from 3 exons.